GGGCCUGUAGCUCAGUGGUAGAGCAAACGUCUUAUACACGUUCUGUCGUAGGUUCGAAUCCUACCAGGCCCA
This 72-nucleotide transfer RNA is filed under the name Candidatus Blackburnbacteria bacterium RIFCSPHIGHO2_01_FULL_40_17. Its description in RNAcentral is "tRNA-Ile". It matches the Rfam family "tRNA". Rfam says of the family: Transfer RNA (tRNA) molecules are approximately 80 nucleotides in length. Their secondary structure includes four short double-helical elements and three loops (D, anti-codon, and T loops). RNAcentral also lists the same sequence under 4 other names. Lineage: Bacteria; Candidatus Blackburniibacteriota. The record is from RNAcentral.